UCUCAGCUACUCAAGAGGCUGAGACAGGAGAACUGCUUAAACCCAGGAGGCAGAGGUUGCAGUGAGCCAAGAUCGCACCACUGCACUCCAGCCUGGCAAGAAAAAGUAACUACCCAUGGAGAUGUUCUGAUGGUUAGAUGGGACCAACCUGUGACGGUGCUUCAUAUGCCUUAAGCAACCCUGGCUUCACUGCUGUUCUCCUUAUCAUCAUCAGUGAUAAGUAUAAUUCUACUUUUGACUGGGAGGCUCAGAGAGCCUAAGUAACUUGUCCAAGGUCAUCAGCUAAUAAGUAACGAUCUACAGGUCUUUGUCAUACUAGCAUUCAUGUUCCCUCUUUUAUACUUUGUAGCUUGGACAAGAAAUACUGAACUUCAUCUUCUCAAAAUCAUUUCCCAUUUUAUAAUGAGAAUAAUAUGACUUUUCUUUCUUCCCCUGCAGGUGAGAUGCAAUCCUUGAGGUUUGUGUGCCUUGAAAAUUGCAGAGCUGUUUGCACGUAAGAUGCCCCGUGUCAUCUCCCAGGUUGACAGAUAAAUUCUUUGCAGGAAAGUAUUGUGAUCGGCACAGCUAUUCAGGCAUAGAGUAAAUAUUCAAUAAACAUGUGGGCUGAGCCCAAGAGGGCUGUGGUGGGCAGGACCCUGUGGCACUGACGUGAGGUUUCCUGCCACCCCCAGCGUUGAGGCAGUGGGUGAUCUUAUGGAGGUGGAGUCAGGAAGCAGGGGGAGGCCCCCAGCCUUGAUAACAGGCCCACUUCCUCUGCCACCCAGCCACAUCAAAGCAGGAUAAACUGUUUCAUUCAUUCCCAUGGCAACUGGGUCCCUGAGACUUCAUGGUGGAGAUCUCCCCCCACGUCCCUUCUCAUUUCUCCCUGUGACUUUACCAGGACCUACCUUCUAAGCUAACACCACUGCAGCCCUUACUGCCCCCAGCACUGUGAAAUCAAUUAGGCCAACAUUAAUCCUCACUAACUGCAUUGACAGGGAGGCAUUGCUAUACUCCCAUUUUACAGCUGAGGAAACUGAAGCUCACAAGCUAAAUGUCUUGCUGAAGGCCCACAGUUAGUGAGCAGCAGACCCAGGAUUUGAAAGCACAAUGGUCUGGUCCCAAGGACUAGUAGUCACCAAGUUAUUCUGCCUCUCCUUCAAGCAUUCAAGUUCCCUGGCCUCCAUUCUAGUCCUCUCUCCACUUAACUGGGGGUGGGAGGGACUCAGGAAUUAGGCAAAAAGAUUACCGCAUGCCUGUUAAAAAUCAUAUGAGAGCAUUUUUCAACAAGCUGCAGGCUUCACAGUUUAUCAUUCCAGGGUUUGGGCCUCACCAUCGCCUGCCCCUCUAUGCCACAUCUGCUUUCUGGGCUGCCCAGAACAGAGUUUCUACCCAGCCGCCUGCAAAAAUAUCUCAAGGCAUAGCAUGCAUUGAGCUGAGGAGAGACAGCUGGUUCUAUUGAAAUUGGGAAGUGGUCUCCCCACAGGUAAUCCCCUCCCCUAACCUCAUAGCUCCCUUAUCCUUUUCAAAACACAAAAAAGAAUCAUUUAGGUCUUUGGUAUAAACCCAAGGCCCUGCCAGGACAUUUGGAUUUUAAAUUCUUUCUCUGAGCAUUGUAGAAAGGAAGGAAAGCAUUGCCUCCUAGCAAAGGAACUCCAGUCACCAGCAAGCUCAGAAGAGAUCCAGGUCUGUUUGUUUUGGGAGGGAGUGAGGGAGGGAAUGGAGUUUGACCUUAAACUGGCUUGUUCCUUUAGGGUUUGUUCUUUUCCUUGGGAAGCUGAGUUGGCAGACGCCUUUCAGGAUCCAGCCCCUCCUAAGGGUUUUCCUGAUGUCCUAAAUCUCCACCCAAGUCUCUACUAUGAGAUUCAACCAUCAGAUGCUUGACAAUGUCAUGAAGAAGAGCCUCCAAGGUUGUGAACCAAGGCAUAGGCAGAAGUGAACCAAAGGUUACAAGACUGAUGCAUCACAUUCACUGAGAUGGAGAAGUUUGAGGAGAGGAUAAUUUGGGAGUGGAAAACGAGAGUCCUUCUUUGUCCGAGUUCUAUCCCCAUCUGACCCCAGUGGAGAGGUCUGGGCUAUAGCUCUCUAUUUGGGAGUUCACAUGGUACCAUGGUCACUGAGGCUGUGAACCAUGUGAAGAGAGAAGUGUGGAGAGAACACCUCCAGUGUUAAGAGGUGGCACUGGAAGAAUCACCAAAGGAACACUGAGAAGAUGCAGCUCAUGAACAGGAAGAGAACACGAUGUCCCAGGAUCCAAAACAAGUGUGUUUCAAGGAGGGAGUGGGGAAUGCUGCUGCAAGAUCUACAACAUGAGGGCAGAGAAGUGGCCACUGCAUCUGGUGACGUGGAGGGUUAGGGUGAGCAUGAAGGAACAAGUGCAGGGAGAAUACCAAACGGAAUGGGCUGAGGAGAGAGAAGAAGUGGCAGAGAGGCAACUCCUUUGGGAAGCUUUGCUCAAGACUUGGGUUUUUGAGAUGCCCCAGAAUCCUUCUGUUAAGUUCCUUUUUGUUUUUCUUUACCUAGCACAAGUUCAUUCGCUGUCAUAGUGACCAAAAGAACCCUAAGGGGCCUCCAGUUUGAAAAAAAA
Long non-coding RNA from Sapajus apella (tufted capuchin), 2566 nucleotides. RefSeq lists it as uncharacterized. The record is from RefSeq and is a predicted model, not a curated record. The transcript has 3 exons. Lineage: Eukaryota; Metazoa; Chordata; Mammalia; Primates; Cebidae.